RNAcentral lists this ribosomal RNA (253 nucleotides) under uncultured Actinomycetales bacterium. RNAcentral describes it as "partial 16S ribosomal RNA". It matches the Rfam family "Bacterial small subunit ribosomal RNA", at positions 78 to 334 of the family's 1533-position model. Lineage: Bacteria; Bacillati; Actinomycetota; Actinomycetes; Actinomycetales. The record is from RNAcentral.
CGUUGGGGUGCUCGAGUGGCGAACGGGUGAGUAACACGUGAGUAACCUGCCCUUGACUUUGGGAUAACUUCAGGAAACUGGGGCUAAUACCGGAUAGGAGCUCCUGCUGCAUGGUGGGGGUUGGAAAGUUUCGGCGGUUGGGGAUGGACUCGCGGCUUAUCAGCUUGUUGGUGGGGUAGUGGCUUACCAAGGCUUUGACGGGUAGCCGGCCUGAGAGGGUGACCGGCCACAUUGGGGCUGAGAUACGGCCCAG